RNAcentral lists this unclassified non-coding RNA (328 nucleotides) under uncultured Entrophospora. Its description in RNAcentral is "SSU rRNA". It matches the Rfam family "Eukaryotic small subunit ribosomal RNA", at positions 569 to 903 of the family's 1831-position model. Lineage: Eukaryota; Fungi; Glomeromycota; Glomeromycetes; Entrophosporales; Entrophosporaceae. The record is from RNAcentral.
AGCAGCCGCGGUAAUUCCAGCUCCAAUAGCGUAUAUUAAAGUUGCUGCAGUUAAAAAGCUCGUAGUUGAAUUUCGGGACCAAUAUGUUGGUCAUGCCUCGGUACGCACUGGCUUAUAGGUCUCUCCCUUCUGACGAACCAUGAUGUCAUUAAUUUGGUGUCUUGGGGAAUCAGGACUGUUACUUUGAAAAAAUUAGAGUGUUUAAAGCAGGCUCGCGCUUGAAUACAUUAGCAUGGAAUAAUGAAAUAGGACGUUUGAUUCUAUUUUGUUGGUUUCUAGGAUCGACGUAAUGAUUAAUAGGGAUAGUUGGGGGCAUUAGUAUUCAAUU